Small nucleolar RNA from Vombatus ursinus (common wombat), 139 nucleotides. Ensembl annotates it as small nucleolar RNA, C/D box 10. Its record names the gene SNORD10. The record is from Ensembl. Lineage: Eukaryota; Metazoa; Chordata; Mammalia; Diprotodontia; Vombatidae.
GCUCUGUGAUGAUCCCCCAUGCGUGUCAGCUGAGCCCAGCUUCCCCUGUUCUCCCAGGUCUAAGUGGGUGUCUUACCCUCUAGUCUUUCUGGGCUGGCGGAGGUCUGUGUGCACAUGAUCUCUCUUUAACCCUGAGAGC